This 253-nucleotide ribosomal RNA is filed under the name uncultured bacterium. RNAcentral describes it as "partial 16S ribosomal RNA". It matches the Rfam family "Bacterial small subunit ribosomal RNA", at positions 524 to 776 of the family's 1533-position model. The record is from RNAcentral.
UACGGAGGAUGCAAGCGUUAUCCGGAAUCAUUGGGCGUAAAGCGUCCGUAGGUGGCUUUUCAAGUCUGCCGUCAAAGACCGGGGCUUAACCCCAGAAAGGCGGUGGAAACUGAAUAGCUAGAGUGCGGUAGGGGUAGAGGGAAUUCCCGGUGUAGCGGUGAAAUGCGUAGAGAUCGGGAAGAACACCGGUGGCGAAAGCGCUCUACUGGACCGUAACUGACACUCAGGGACGAAAGCUAGGGUAGCAAAUGGG